Molecule: long non-coding RNA, 498 nt
Filed under: Ananas comosus (pineapple)
Lineage: Eukaryota; Viridiplantae; Streptophyta; Magnoliopsida; Poales; Bromeliaceae
Description: long non-coding RNA (ACOM_LNC032251)
Source: RNAcentral
UCGCUCGCGCCGCGCGUUAUUCUUGCAGCAGAUGAACGUAACACGAGGUGAUCUGUCAAGGGUUGCGGACUCUAAGAAUAUUUGUUGAUUUAAAUGAGGCCAGAUUGGGCCGAGUCACGUUCAAAAUGACGAGAGGCUGGCUUGGGCUGAGCCAUAUUCAAAGUUUGUAUAAGGUUGGUUGAGCCGAAUUACAAUCGAUCAAAACCUGUAGACGCUGUCUUUGGACGCCUUUAAGUAAAUUUGUUACGUAUUUCUAACAGCUUAAAAUUCCCGUAUGCUACGCAGAUACUAGGAGGGCCUUAAAGGGGCAAGCAUUCUGCCCUAUGAUAGGGGGAUAAGUUGGGCCAAGUUAUAUUCAAAGUAACGUGAAGUUUAACAUUCGAAGUGGUGUGAAGGCCAUAUUGGAGCUUUGUUUGCUGAAAAGUGAGUAACGCUUCAAUCGCUACUAAGAAUAGUUGGUUGUUAUCCAGAAGGAUUGUCAUAAAAAUUCAACGAUGG